CCAUCAGAUGUGCCCAGAUGGGAUUAGCUAGUAGGUGGGGUAACGGCUCACCUAGGCGACGAUCCCUAGCUGGUCUGAGAGGAUGACCAGCCACACUGGAACUGAGACACGGUCCAGACUCCUACGGGAGGCAGCAGUGGGGAAUAUUGCACAAUGGGCGCAAGCCUGAUGCAGCCAUGCCGCGUGUAUGAAGAAGGCCUUCGGGUUGUAAAGUACUUUCAGCGGGGAGGAAGGUGUUGUGGUUAAUAACCGCAGCAAUUGACGUUACCCGCAGAAGAAGCACCGGCUAACUCCGUGCCAGCAGCCGCGGUAAUACGGAGGGUGCAAGCGUUAAUCGGAAUUACUGGGCGUAAAGCGCACGCAGGCGGUCUGUCAAGUCGGAUGUGAAAUCCCCGGGCUCAACCUGGGAACUGCAUUCGAAACUGGCAGGCUAGAGUCUUGUAGAGGGGGGUAGAAUUCCAGGUGUAGCGGUGAAAUGCGUAGAGAUCUGGAGGAAUACCGGUGGCGAAGGCGGCCCCCUGGACAAAGACUGACGCUCA
Molecule: ribosomal RNA, 539 nt
Filed under: Pantoea agglomerans
Lineage: Bacteria; Pseudomonadati; Pseudomonadota; Gammaproteobacteria; Enterobacterales; Erwiniaceae
Description: bacterial SSU rRNA
Rfam family: Bacterial small subunit ribosomal RNA
Source: RNAcentral